CCUACGGGUGGCAGCAGUGAGGAAUAUUGGUCAAUGGGCGGGAGCCUGAACCAGCCAAGUCGCGUGAGGGAAGAAGGUACUAAGUAUUGUAAACUUCUUUUGUCGGGGAACAAAGGCGUAGACGCGUCUCGGGCUGCGUGUACCCGGAGAAAAAGCGUCGGCUAACUCCGUGCCAGCAGCCGCGGUAAUACGGAGGAUGCGAGCGUUAUCCGGAUUUAGUGGGGUUAAAGGGUGCGCAGGCGGGCGAUCAAGUCAGCGGUAAAAUGUCGGGGCUCAACCCCGGCCGGCAGUUGAAACUGGUUGUCUAGAGUUGGAGACAGGUAUGCGGAAUUCGUGGUGUAGCGGUGAAAUGCAUAGAUAUCACGAAGAACCCCGAUUGCGAAGGCAGCAUACCGGCUUGAUACUGACGCUGAGGCACGAAAGCGUGGGGAUCGAACAGGAUUAGAUACCCCAGUAGUC
Molecule: ribosomal RNA, 459 nt
Filed under: uncultured bacterium
Lineage: Bacteria
Description: partial 16S ribosomal RNA
Rfam family: Bacterial small subunit ribosomal RNA
Source: RNAcentral